Non-coding RNA from Oryctolagus cuniculus (rabbit), 518 nucleotides. Lineage: Eukaryota; Metazoa; Chordata; Mammalia; Lagomorpha; Leporidae. The record is from RefSeq and is a predicted model, not a curated record.
AGCCAUGAUCACCAAUGUGUCUAAGCCAUGAUCACUGUGUCUAAGCCAUGAUCACCAAUGUGUCUAAGCCAUGAUCACCAAGGUGUCUAAGCCAUGAUCACCAACGUGUCUAAUCCAUGAUCACCAACGUGUCUAAGCCAUGAUCACCAAGGUGUCUAAGCCAUGAUCACCAUGUCUAAGCCAUGAUCACCAUGUCUAAGCCAUGAUCACCAAGGUGUCUAAGCCAUGAUCACCAUGUCUAAGCCAUGAUCACCAAGGUGUCUAAGCCAUGAUCACCAAGGUGUCUAAGUGUAAUCAAUGAUACUGAGCCCUCCCAACCACCCGUGCCACAGCUGCUACCACCGUCUUGACCUCACAGAGAGGGUGAGUGACCUCCCCACACUCACACAGCUGCUGGGAGGCUGAGCAGAGACCUGGGCACAACUUAGGCAGUUCCAGAGAAACAACAGUGAACACAAGUCCAUCCCAGGCGCCUGUCAGCUCUAAACCUGUUUUAGUUUCCUUUUCAGUAAAAUGCG